GACGAACGCGGGCGGCGUGCUUAACACAUGCAAGUCGAACGCUGAAGCCCAGCUUGCUGGGUGGAUGAGUGGCGAACGGGUGAGUAACACGUGAGUAACCUGCCCCCUUCUUUGGGAUAACGCCCGGAAACGGGUGCUAAUACUGGAUAUUCACUGAUUCUCGCAUGGGGGUUGGUGGAAAGGUUUUUUCUGGUGGGGGAUGGGCUCGCGGCCUAUCAGCUUGUUGGUGGGGUGAUGGCCUACCAAGGCUUUGACGGGUAGCCGGCCUGAGAGGGUGACCGGUCACAUUGGGACUGAGAUACGGCCCAGACUCCUACGGGAGGCAGCAGUGGGGAAUAUUGCACAAUGGGCGAAAGCCUGAUGCAGCGACGCCGCGUGAGGGAUGGAGGCCUUCGGGUUGUAAACCUCUUUCGCUCAUGGUCAAGCCGCAACUUAGGGUUGUGGUGAGGGUAGUGGGUAAAGAAGCGCCGGCUAACUACGUGCCAGCAGCCGCGGUAAUACGUAGGGCGCGAGCGUUGUCCGGAAUUAUUGGGCGUAAAGGGCUUGUAGGCGGUUGGUCGCGUCUGCCGUGAAAUCCUCUGGCUUAACUGGGGGCGUGCGGUGGGUACGGGCUGACUUGAGUGCGGUAGGGGAGACUGGAACUCCUGGUGUAGCGGUGGAAUGCGCAGAUAUCAGGAAGAACACCGGUGGCGAAGGCGGGUCUCUGGGCCGUUACUGACGCUGAGGAGCGAAAGCGUGGGGAGCGAACAGG
Molecule: ribosomal RNA, 751 nt
Filed under: uncultured Actinomyces sp.
Lineage: Bacteria; Bacillati; Actinomycetota; Actinomycetes; Actinomycetales; Actinomycetaceae
Description: bacterial SSU rRNA
Rfam family: Bacterial small subunit ribosomal RNA
Source: RNAcentral